UACGAAGGGGGCUAGCGUUGCUCGGAAUCACUGGGCGUAAAGGGUGCGUAGGUGGCGCGCUAAGUCGGGUGUGAAAUCUCGGAGCUUAACUCCGAAAUUGCAUUCGAUACUGGCGUGCUUGAGGACUGGAGAGGAGACUGGAAUUCAUGGUGUAGCAGUGAAAUGCGUAGAGAUCAUGAGGAAGACCAGUGGCGAAGGCGGGUCUCUGGGCCAUAACUGACGCUGGAGGAGCGAAAGCGUGGGGAGCGAACAGG
This 254-nucleotide ribosomal RNA is filed under the name uncultured bacterium. Its description in RNAcentral is "partial 16S ribosomal RNA". It matches the Rfam family "Bacterial small subunit ribosomal RNA", at positions 524 to 776 of the family's 1533-position model. The record is from RNAcentral.